Non-coding RNA from Meleagris gallopavo (turkey), 754 nucleotides. Lineage: Eukaryota; Metazoa; Chordata; Aves; Galliformes; Phasianidae. The record is from RefSeq and is a predicted model, not a curated record.
CCUCAUUUAAGGGCUGGCUGCCACAAGUGAGUGUUCUCUACUUGGAGUUUCUUCUUUUGGGAGAUUUUGAUAAGCUCUGAUCCUUGGCGUGGUUCAAAACUGUGGUUUAACUUGAAAGGAGGAGCCUGUAACUCCCGCUUACUUAAUGCUUUGUGCAGACUGAUCUUCCUUUGGCUUAUAAGACAAAAAUAAUAAUUAAAUGAACGACGAGGUUCUUAGUAAGUUUGCUAAUGUCAGGUUCUUAUGAUUCCAAAUAAGGUUCUGAGCUACCUCAGAGAGAAAAGCUCAAUCCUUAUUAAAGUGGGAAUUGAGCCAUUGAAUUUAAGUGUGGAGGAGAUGAGAUGCACCCAGGGACAAGUUCUCUCAUAGGAAUUUUCCAUGGAGGUGUCCAGAGCAUGUCAGCCUUGGGGAUAAACUGCUUUUGCUGUUGAAAAAAGCUGAAAAUGAGCUUGUAGUUUUUUCAUCAGAGAAAACCACCGGUCCUAUUCAUUUGGCAUUUAUGGUGUGCAUUCUUCUGUGAGCUUUGUCAGACUGCACUGGCAUAUCACUUGGCUACGAGGAAGCAGUAUCUGACACUGGAGUGAAGUGGGGGUAGGAAGGCAAAUCGACUUUUUCAACCGAUGACCACAGAGCAACAUCUGGAAUUGUAGGGUGUCUGUAAUAAAUCCCAUCUUAUUAUCCUGCAUAUUAAAUGUAACUCAGUUAAUGACCAUAUAGAGCAGAUUAAUGUGAGCAAAGUCUAAUUAGGUAAAGA